Molecule: ribosomal RNA, 1372 nt
Filed under: uncultured bacterium
Lineage: Bacteria
Description: bacterial SSU rRNA
Rfam family: Bacterial small subunit ribosomal RNA
Source: RNAcentral
GAUGAACGCUGGCGGCGUGCCUAAUACAUGCAAGUCGAGCGAACGGACGAGAAGCUUGCUUCUCUGAUGUUAGCGGCGGACGGGUGAGUAACACGUGGAUAACCUACCUAUAAGACUGGGAUAACUUCGGGAAACCGUAGCUAAUACCGGAUAAUAUUUUGAACCGCAUGGUUCAAAAGUGAAAGACGGUCUUGCUGUCACUUAUAGAUGGAUCCGCGCUGCAUUAGCUAGUUGGUAAGGUAACGGCUUACCAAGGCAACGAUGCAUAGCCGACCUGAGAGGGUGAUCGGCCACACUGGAACUGAGGCACGGUCCAGACUCCUACGGGAGGCAGCAGUAGGGAAUCUUCCGCAAUGGGCGAAUGCCUGACGGAGCAACGCCGCGUGAGUGAUGAAGGUCUUCGGAUCGUAAAACUCUGUUAUUAGGGAAGAACAUAUGUGUAAGUAACUGUGCACAUCUUGACGGUACCUAAUCAGAAAGCCACGGCUAACUACGUGCCAGCAGCCGCGGUAAUACGUAGGUGGCAAGCGUUAUCCGGAAUUAUUGGGCGUAAAGCGCGCGUAGGCGGUUUUUUAAGUCUGAUGUGAAAGCCCACGGCUCAACCGUGGAGGGUCAUUGGAAACUGGAAAACUUGAGUGCAGAAGAGGAAAGUGGAAUUCCAUGUGUAGCGGUGAAAUGCGCAGAGAUAUGGAGGAACACCAGUGGCGAAGGCGACUUUCUGGUCUGUAACUGACGCUGAUGUGCGAAAGCGUGGGGAUCAAACAGGAUUAGAUACCCUGGUAGUCCACGCCGUAAACGAUGAGUGCUAAGUGUUAGGGGGUUUCCGCCCCUUAGUGCUGCAGCUAACGCAUUAAGCACUCCGCCUGGGGAGUACGACCGCAAGGUUGAAACUCAAAGGAAUUGACGGGGACCCGCACAAGCGGUGGAGCAUGUGGUUUAAUUCGAAGCAACGCGAAGAACCUUACCAAAUCUUGACAUCCUUUGACAACUCUAGAGAUAGAGCCUUCCCCUUCGGGGGACAAAGUGACAGGUGGUGCAUGGUUGUCGUCAGCUCGUGUCGUGAGAUGUUGGGUUAAGUCCCGCAACGAGCGCAACCCUUAAGCUUAGUUGCCAUCAUUAAGUUGGGCACUCUAAGUUGACUGCCGGUGACAAACCGGAGGAAGGUGGGGAUGACGUCAAAUCAUCAUGCCCCUUAUGAUUUGGGCUACACACGUGCUACAAUGGACAAUACAAAGGGCAGCGAAACCGCGAGGUCAAGCAAAUCCCAUAAAGUUGUUCUCAGUUCGGAUUGUAGUCUGCAACUCGACUACAUGAAGCUGGAAUCGCUAGUAAUCGUAGAUCAGCAUGCUACGGUGAAUACGUUCCCGGGUCU